Molecule: transfer RNA, 1050 nt
Filed under: Medicago truncatula (barrel medic)
Lineage: Eukaryota; Viridiplantae; Streptophyta; Magnoliopsida; Fabales; Fabaceae
Description: lncRNA gene3023
Rfam family: tRNA (bases 2-74)
Source: RNAcentral
AGGGGAUGUAGCUCACAUGGUAGAGCGCUCGCUUUGCAUGCGAGAGGUACGGGGUUCGAUACCCCGCAUCUCCAUUAUUUUUAUCUUAAACAAAUUUUCGGUAUUCAACGGAAUCAAUCAUCUGUAAAUUGUCAUAAGCACCCGCACGUUCUCUCUCUCUCUCUCUCUCUUUUAGGACUAAAAUAUAUUAACUACAAGAGGGUGUAGCUCACAUGGUAGAGCGCUCGCUUUGCAUGCGAGAGGUACGGGGUUCGAUACCCCGCAUCUCCAUUAUUUUUAUCUUAAACAAAAUUUUCGGUAUUCAACGUAAUCAAUCAUCUAUAAAUUGUCAUAAGCACCCGCACGUUCUCUCUCUCUCUCUCUCUCUCUCUCUCUCUCUCUCUCUCUCUCUUUAGGACUAAAUUAUAUUAACGACAAGGGGAUGUAGCUCACAUGGUAGAGCGCUCGCUUUGCAUGCCAGAGGUACGGGGUUCGAUACCCUGCAUCUCCAUUAUUUUUAUCUUAAACAAAUUUUUUGGUAUUCAACGGAAUCAAUCAUCUGUAAAUUGUCAUAAGCACCCGCACGUUCUCUCUCUUUUAGGAAUAAAAUAUAUUAACUACAAGGGGAUGUAGCUCACAUGGUAGAGCGCUCGCUUUGCAUGCGAGAGGUACGGGGUUCGAUACCCCGCAUCUCCAUUAUUUUUAUCUUAAACAAAAUUUUCGGUAUUCAACGGAAUCAAUCAUCUGUAAAUUGUCAUAAGCACCCGCACGUUCUCUCUCUCUUUUACGACUAAAAUAUAUUAACUACAAGGGGGUGUAGCUCACAUGGUAGAGCGCUCGCUUUGCAUGCGAGAGGUACGGGGUUCGAUACCCUGCAUCUCCAUUAUUUUUAUCUUAAACAAAAUUUUCGGUAUUCAACGGAAUCAAUCAUCUGUAAAUUGUCAUAAGCACCCGCACGUUCUCUCUCUUGUAGGACUAAAAUAUAUUAACUACAAGGGGAUGUAGCUCACAUGGUAGAGCGCUCGCUUUGCAUGCGAGAGGUACGGGGUUCAAUACCCUGCAUCUCCAUUA